UACGUAGGGGGCAAGCGUUAUCCGGAUUUACUGGGUGUAAAGGGAGCGCAGACGGCAGUGCAAGUCUGAUGUGAAAGCCCGGGGCUCAACCCCGGAACUGCAUUGGAAACUGUACAGCUUGAGUGUCGGAGAGGUAAGCGGAAUUCCUAGUGUAGCGGUGAAAUGCGUAGAUAUCGGGAGGAACACCGGUGACGAAGGCGGCUUUCUGGCCAGUUACUGACGCUCAUGCGCGAGAGCUGGGUUAGCGAACCGGAUUAGAUACCCCUGUA
This 269-nucleotide ribosomal RNA is filed under the name uncultured prokaryote. RNAcentral's name for it is "partial 16S ribosomal RNA". It matches the Rfam family "Bacterial small subunit ribosomal RNA", at positions 524 to 792 of the family's 1533-position model. The record is from RNAcentral.